Molecule: ribosomal RNA, 579 nt
Filed under: uncultured Glomerales
Lineage: Eukaryota; Fungi; Glomeromycota; Glomeromycetes; Glomerales; Glomeraceae
Description: partial large subunit ribosomal RNA
Rfam family: Eukaryotic large subunit ribosomal RNA
Source: RNAcentral
CAUGGAGGGUGAGAAUCCCGUCCGGUUGAUCAUUGCGUUUUAUGAUACGCUUUCUAAGAGUCAAGUUGUUUGGGAUUGCAGCUUAAAAUGGGAGGUAAAUUUCUCCUAAGGCUAAAUAACGGCGAGAGACCGAUAGCGAACAAGUACCGUGAGGGAAAGAUGAAAAGAACUUUGAAAAGAGAGUUAAACAGUACGUGAAAUUGUUGAAAGGGAAACGAUUGAAGCCAGUCGUACCUAUGGGUAAUCAGCCUUUUGGGUGUGAUUUUGUGGAGCGUGGGGAGUUAAACGCCUUCAUGCCUGCAUAUUCGUGCACUUUGGGUGUACUUGCCCGUGUGUAAGUUAACAUCAAUUUUGGUGGUUAUAAAAUGGCUGGAGGAAUGUAGCUUCGAUCUUGUAUUGAAGUGUUAUAGCCUUCGGUAGAUGUGACGAUCGGGAUUGAGGAUUGCAACGGAUACCCUUCGGGGCUACCUGUCUGAUCUCUGAUUGUUGCUCUGGUGCCGAAAGCUUGCUUACGGUUAUCAAAGUCGAUGGUCAAUAGGUUAGAACGGGUUAAAUUCGUUAAGGAUGUUGACGUAAUGG